UACCCAUGCUCGCCUUCAACCCUUGCACCACCUGCACCAUCACCACCCUUUCUCUUUUUUAGUUGUUGAUCAUAUGAUCCGACCUAACCGCUAGGCAGAAUCGCUCACUUUCCCCCUCUUCUCACACCAAAUCUCCGCCUCAUGUUGGCAAUCUUCCCCAAGUUUGGCCGAGAUCCAACUUCCUUGAGCUCCUCUCCCCGCCGAUUGCCUAAACCCACAACCUCCUCUCCUCGCCAAUUGCCAAAACCCACAAGCUCCCCUCUACCACUAAUCAUCAUAACUGUGACUUCAAGUGGGCCUUCUAGCUUGGAGCUCUGCCCCAAUCUCAAGCUCCCUCUGUCACCAAACACCCAAAGUGCGACCUCAUGCACCCCUUGUGACCUCUUCUGACCUAUUUGUCCACACCACCCAUCCGCCUCUACUCAGCACCUCUCCUCUUGGCCAGUUUCCCCAAAGCAAGUCCUCCUAUUCUUUCAAAAAAAACAAGUCCUCCUAAAACUUGGC
RNAcentral lists this long non-coding RNA (504 nucleotides) under Sorghum bicolor (sorghum). Its description in RNAcentral is "long non-coding RNA (SBIC_LNC000184)". Lineage: Eukaryota; Viridiplantae; Streptophyta; Magnoliopsida; Poales; Poaceae. The record is from RNAcentral.